AGAGGUCCUGCCUGCCCUGUGACUAUUGUUUAACGGCCGCGGUACUCUGACCGUGCAAAGGUAGCGCAAUCACUUGUCUCUUAAAUGGAGACCUGUAUGAAUGGCAAGACGAGGGCUAAACUGUCUCCUUUUUCAAGUCAAUGAAAUUGAUCCCCCCGUGCAGAAGCGGGGAUGACUACAUAAGACGAGAAGACCCUAUGGAGCUUUAGACAUUAAGGCAGGUCCUGUUAAAUAACCUUAAUUAUAAGAACAAACCUCACAAACACUGCCCGCCUGUCUUUGGUUGGGGUGACCACGGAGAAAACAAAACCCCCGUGCGGAACAAGGGCACUCCCCGCCCUUUAAAUUAAGAGCGCCAGCUCUAACAAACAGAAUAUCUGACCACUAAUGAUCCGGCAAUGCCGAUCAACGGACCGAGUUACCCUAGGGAUAACAGCGCAAUCCCCUCCUAGAGCCCAUAUCGACAAGGGGGUUUACGACCUCGAUGUUGGAUCAGGACAUCCUAAUGGCGCAGCCGCUAUUAAGGGUUCGUUUGUUCAACGAUUAAAGUCCU
This 553-nucleotide ribosomal RNA is filed under the name Apogonichthyoides pharaonis. RNAcentral's name for it is "partial 16S ribosomal RNA". It matches the Rfam family "Bacterial large subunit ribosomal RNA", at positions 1848 to 2597 of the family's 2925-position model. Lineage: Eukaryota; Metazoa; Chordata; Actinopteri; Kurtiformes; Apogonidae. The record is from RNAcentral.